This is a long non-coding RNA of Sander lucioperca (pikeperch), 267 nucleotides long. RefSeq lists it as uncharacterized. The record is from RefSeq and is a predicted model, not a curated record. The transcript is spliced from 3 exons. NCBI's taxonomy places the organism in Eukaryota, Metazoa, Chordata, Actinopteri, Perciformes, Percidae.
AGAGAAUAAACCCCUGGCUGGCGCGAGAGCAGCGGUCCUCAUCUACUUCACACAACGCAGAUUUUGCAGCAACAUGAGAUGCUAUGUAAGCCGAGUUGGAUACACACACCUGAGCAGAGCCGAGGGCUUUUAGCAGAGACGAGGAAGUUCACUAACACGUGUUCAGCAUCCUUCCUGCAUCCAGCCUGGUGGGCUUUUCCUGUGUGUGUGUGUGUGUGUGUGUGUGUGUGUGUGUGUGUGUGUGUGUGUGUGUGUGUGUGUGUGUGU